AAAUUGAAGAGUUUGAUCAUGGCUCAGAUUGAACGCUGGCGGCAGGCCUAACACAUGCAAGUCGAGCGGUAGCACAGAGAGCUUGCUCUCGGGUGACGAGCGGCGGACGGGUGAGUAAUGUCUGGGAAACUGCCUGAUGGAGGGGGAUAACUACUGGAAACGGUAGCUAAUACCGCAUAAUGUCGCAAGACCAAAGUGGGGGACCUUCGGGCCUCAUGCCUUCAGAUGUGCCCAGAUGGGAUUA
This 244-nucleotide ribosomal RNA is filed under the name Pseudomonas aeruginosa. RNAcentral describes it as "partial 16S ribosomal RNA". It matches the Rfam family "Bacterial small subunit ribosomal RNA", at positions 1 to 243 of the family's 1533-position model. The record is from RNAcentral. Lineage: Bacteria; Pseudomonadati; Pseudomonadota; Gammaproteobacteria; Pseudomonadales; Pseudomonadaceae.